RNAcentral lists this transfer RNA (69 nucleotides) under Darevskia caucasica. RNAcentral's name for it is "tRNA-Thr". It matches the Rfam family "tRNA". Rfam says of the family: Transfer RNA (tRNA) molecules are approximately 80 nucleotides in length. Their secondary structure includes four short double-helical elements and three loops (D, anti-codon, and T loops). The record is from RNAcentral. Lineage: Eukaryota; Metazoa; Chordata; Lepidosauria; Squamata; Lacertidae.
GCCCUAGUAGCUUAAAUUCUAAAGCCUUGGUCUUGUAAACCAAAAAUGAGAUUUGCUCUCCUAGGCCAA